UACGGAGGGUGCGAGCGUUGUCCGGAAUCACUGGGCGUAAAGGGCGCGUAGGCGGCGCGGGUAGUCAACGGUGAAAGCUUGGGGCUCAACCCCGAGUCGGCCGUCGAUACUCCCGUGCUUGAGCACUGUAGAGGCAGGUGGAAUUCCGGGUGUAGCGGUGGAAUGCGCAGAUAUCAGGAGGAACACCGGUGGCGAAGGCGGGUCUCUGGGCCGAUACUGACGCUGAGGAGCGAAAGCGUGGGGAGCGAACAGG
Molecule: ribosomal RNA, 253 nt
Filed under: uncultured bacterium
Lineage: Bacteria
Description: partial 16S ribosomal RNA
Rfam family: Bacterial small subunit ribosomal RNA
Source: RNAcentral